This 253-nucleotide ribosomal RNA is filed under the name uncultured bacterium. RNAcentral describes it as "partial 16S ribosomal RNA". It matches the Rfam family "Bacterial small subunit ribosomal RNA", at positions 524 to 776 of the family's 1533-position model. The record is from RNAcentral.
UACGUAGGGGGCAAGCGUUGUCCGGAUUUAUUGGGCGUAAAGCGCUCGCAGGUGGUUCGAUGCGUCGUGCGUGAAAGCCCCCGGCUCAACUGGGGAGUGUCGUGCGAUACGGUCGGACUGGAGGCCAGUAGGGGGAUGCGGAAUUCCGGGUGUAGUGGUGGAAUGCGUAGAGAUCCGGAGGAACACCAGCGGCGAAGGCGGCCUACUGGGUCAGUACUGACGCUGAGCCGCGAAAGCCAGGGGAGCGAACGGG